GAUGAAGAACGUAGCGAAAUGCGAUAAGUAAUGUGAAUUGCAGAAUUCAGUGAAUCAUCGAAUCUUUGAACGCACAUUGCGCCCAUCAGUAUUCUGUUGGGCAUGCCUGUCCGAGCGUCAUUUCAACCCUCAGGGCCCGUUCGCGGGAACUGGUGUUGGGGAUCGGCCUCCCCCCGGAGGCCGGCCCCGAAAUGCAGUGGCGGCUCUACCGCGAUCUCCUCUGUGUAGUAGCGAUACCUCGCAGCUGGAUAGUGGUGGUGCCACGUCGUAAAAUCCCAACUUUACCAAGGUUGACCUCGGAUCAGGUAGGAAUACCCGCUGAACUUAAGCAUAUCAAUAAGCGGAGGA
RNAcentral lists this unclassified non-coding RNA (348 nucleotides) under soil metagenome. RNAcentral describes it as "partial contains 5.8S ribosomal RNA, internal transcribed spacer 2, and large subunit ribosomal RNA". The stretch from base 1 to 120 matches the Rfam family "5.8S ribosomal RNA", at positions 35 to 154 of the family's 154-position model. The record is from RNAcentral.